Non-coding RNA from Nemania sp. NC0429, 133 nucleotides. The record is from the annotation of a GenBank genome assembly. Lineage: Eukaryota; Fungi; Ascomycota; Sordariomycetes; Xylariales; Xylariaceae.
GGCACUUUGGUAGAGUGGUUAAUACGUAAGACUGCUAUAUACAACUUACCGAAAUCGGAAACAUCCGGUCUCACGGCAAGGUAGCUGAUAUCUUAUCCCUUCGGGGGCCCGAGUUCGAAUCUCGGAGGUGUCG